AACGCCUGUGCUCAAUGGGGGCUUUGUUCUGUGCUGCAGCAGCGGGGCCCCAGCACAACCCCCCCCCACCCCCCCCAUCCCGCCACGCCCCGGGGGCUGGGGGUGUGCACAGGCGUGCCACGCUGUGCAAAAGCGUGUGACGGCCGCGGCGGAGGCGUGCACGGCUGGGCCGUGGUGUGCAACGCCGCACGGAACCGUGCAAAGCCGUGCAAAACCGCGGGGGCUGCAGAAAUCCGUGUGACAUCCCGGCGCCGUGCGACGUCACGUGGAGCUGUGCCACGGCGUGCGACGUCAUGUGAUGUCACACGACGUCAUACAAUGACAUGCAAUGACAUACGAAGCCACCCAGCGCACGGGGACACGCGGAGGACGCGCAGCAUCCGUGCCCUCCUGUGUCCGUGUGUCCCUGUGGCACAACGUGUCCGUGGUCCUUUUCGCUGUCCUCCCCUUACGACCCCAUUGCACGUCCCCCGUGUCCCACAGACGUGUCACGCCGUGUCUGCCAUGUCCCCGUGUCCCCAGGGCUUUGUCCCACACCGUGCCCCCCCCAUCCGUGCCCCCACAUCCCUGUGUCCCACCCCGUGUCCCCCGUGGCCGUGUCGCUGCACCCAGUCCCUCUGUCCGUCCAUCCCUCUGUCCUCCCGUUCCAGGACCUGUUCCCGCGCCUCCUUUCCCCAUCUCCGUGUCCCUGCGUGUCCCCGCGUCCCUUUGUCCUCGUAUGGCCCCGUCCCCAUGUCCGUAUGUCCCCAUGUCCAUACGCCCCCAUGUCUAUAUGUCCCCAUGUCCGUACGUCCUCAUGUCCGUAUGUCCCCAUGUCUGUAUGUCCCCAUGUCUAUAUGUCCCCAUGUCCAUACGCCCCCAUGUCUAUAUGUCCCCAUGUCCGUAUGUCCCCAUGUCCGUACGUCCUCAUGUCCGUAUGUCCCCAUGUCCGUAUGUCCCCAUGUCCGUAUGUCCUCAUGUCCAUAUGUCCUCAUGUCUGUAUGUCCCCAUGUCCGUAUGUCCU
RNAcentral lists this long non-coding RNA (1003 nucleotides) under Phasianus colchicus (ring-necked pheasant). Its description in RNAcentral is "lncRNA (ENSPCLG00000020275.1)". Lineage: Eukaryota; Metazoa; Chordata; Aves; Galliformes; Phasianidae. The record is from RNAcentral.